Molecule: unclassified non-coding RNA, 424 nt
Filed under: soil metagenome
Description: partial contains 5.8S ribosomal RNA, internal transcribed spacer 2, and large subunit ribosomal RNA
Rfam family: 5.8S ribosomal RNA (bases 1-120)
Source: RNAcentral
GAUGAAGAACGCAGCGAAAUGCGAUACGUAAUGUGAAUUGCAGAAUUCAGUGAAUCAUCGAAUCUUUGAACGCAUAUUGCGCUCUCUGGUAUUCCGGAGAGCAUGCUUGUUUGAGUAUCAGUAAACACCUCAACUCCCUUUCUUCUUGAAAUGGAGCUGGACUUGAGUGAUCCCAACGCUUUAUUCAUAAAGUGGCGGGUUACUUGAAAUGCAGGUGCAGCUGGACUUUUCUCUGAGCUAUAAGCAUAUCUAUUUAGUCUGCCUCAAAACAGAUUAUUACCUUUGCUGCAGCUAACAUAAAGGAGAUUAGUUCUUGUGCUGACUGAUGCAGGAUUCACAAAGACCGCUUCGGCUGUCUUUGUAAACUCGGUCUCAAAUCAAGUAAGACUACCCGCUGAACUUAAGCAUAUCAAUAAGCGGAGGA